UACGUAGGGACCGAGCGUUGUCCGGAUUCAUUGGGCGUAAAGAGCUCGUAGGCGGCUGCUCAAGUCGAAUGUGAAAACUCGAGGCUCAACCUCGAGCCUGCAUUCGAUUCUGGGCGGCUAGAGUCUGGUAGGGGGAUCUGGAAUUCCUGGUGUAGCGGUGGAAUGCGCAGAUAUCAGGAGGAACACCGGUGGCGAAGGCGGGAUCCUGGGCCAGUACUGACGCUGAGGAGCGAAAGCGUGGGGAGCAAACAGG
RNAcentral lists this ribosomal RNA (253 nucleotides) under uncultured bacterium. RNAcentral's name for it is "partial 16S ribosomal RNA". It matches the Rfam family "Bacterial small subunit ribosomal RNA", at positions 524 to 776 of the family's 1533-position model. The record is from RNAcentral.